GCAUUUCCAGAACUGUGGCAGUGCUGAGCACUUCAGUUGGACAAAGUACAGAUACCGGAGCAAGUCUCAGAACAGACAAGGACAAAGCAGAGCAAGACAAAGGACAAAUACUGGCUCUCUGUGUGUUUGAGAGGUGAAAGGUGCCCAUGAGUAACGACCUGUAAUAACGUGAAGAAUGAGAACAGCAUAUGAGCAGCAGACAGCAUUCCCCUCUACAACCCGGCUAAGAAUCCUUCCACUAGCAAUCAUCGCUGGGAAAUAUUCAUGCUCUGUAAGAAAACAGAUGGGAAGUGAAGAUUUGAGGCCACUCAGCAAGUCACUGAUAUUAAAAACCAAACAUUGUCUAGAGCUGGAAAAUUAUAUGUGUGUUACAUACAUAAUGAGAGACACAUCUGGAAGAAAUAAAGGGGGGAUGACCAGUCCGUUGAGCCUCAGCCUGUCUCAGCUCAAAACCUCAUUUCUCCUCCCUGAGGAGAGACGCUGGCUGUCUUCACACAGCACCAGCAUGUCCAGCCGAGGCCAGCCCUACCCCACACAGAGGGCUGCUACGUGGAGGAAAAGGAAGGGAGAGGAAAUUUCCAAGAGGCAAUCAGGUGCUGAAUGCCAUUCUGAAACCCGUUGCUCCAAGUGGUUGCAGCAUUUACCUGGGAGGUGGGAGACCUGACACCUAAGCCAAACAGCCUCGGGACACGCCGUGACAAGCAGCUUGUGCUGCUGGCAGCCCGAGGGCACCCUGUGUCCUUCCCCUGUGCUCCCCACACAGACCCUGCAGCACCCGGACACCCUCACACCUGAAGCCUCAGCCUGCCAGAACCAAACACAAGCAAGCCCACAUCUGAAAUGUCAGGACAGCCAGUUUCACUCCUGGGCUUUCAUUCCCAGGCCAAGGUUUGAGGCACGUCCUGUCAGGACUCUUCUGUCUUGGCCACAGAGAGACGUGGAUCGUUUGGCUUUGCCUUUGCUCUCCUGAAGAAAACCCCAGAGUGCAACCCAGGCCGCAGUUUCAGCACCUCUUUUGCCCAUCUGUGGUCAGCGCAGCCAGCAGAUGGGAACUGUGCUGCACACAGGCCGGACAGCCAGCGACUGCCUUUUUGUUCCCUGUAUUCUCUCAAGGGAUUAAUGUUCCAGGGAAAGGCACCACUGUACCACCACCACCGGGAGUUUCCAGCUUCACGACUGCCACGUGGCUGCACCAUCCCGUGCUGAGCUUUCUUUGGCCACUGGCACGAAUGCAGUUGCUAAACACAAUUACAGGCUGAUGCACGAAGCAAACAGCACCACGUACCCUGGGAUCAGACCUAACUGGCUUUGUAGAAACCAAGAAUUCACAUCAAGGUCAGCACGUUUAUCUAGGCAUGGUUUUGAGUGACUGAAGCCAAAUUUAUUUAUUUCCUUCUUUGCCCUGCCCAGCCUGAGUUACGAGCAGCUGUCGGAUCCUGAGAAAUGACUGCUUGGGGGAUGUGGGUGGGCAGCGGCUGCUGUAAGGAAAGGUUCACGGCAUGACCUGCUCUCUGCACAGCUGCUGCAGGAGUUGUGCAUUCUCAUGAUUAAGAGCUGUUCAAAUUUUAACUUACUGACCAAACAAAUCAUGAAAAGCUUUCAGUUUCAGUUCAUUCAAAGUGAUUUACCUCUCAAAUUCCUCAGAUUUAAAGUUUAACAUGAAAUAAUUGUUUCUGCUUGUUGUUUUUAACUUGAAAUUUUGUUCUUCCCAGAACAAAGUUUUAAUUUUUCAUGUUAAAAAUCUAUUUUGGGAGCCCAGGAGAAAACGUGGAGCUGCUACAAAGAAGAAAGCAGAGUUAACAGGAAAACAAUUGUGUGUUGUAUUUUUCUGCAAGCCACUCUUACUGGAAACUCUAAGUUAUUUGACACUAAAGUCAAAUUACACAAAAUCAAUCCUAUUGUUACAGAACUAAAAAGUUAGUGGGAUGCUGUCACAUGCCAGCAGAUACAGGAGCUCAGACCUCAGCUGGCCAGGACAAAAGGAGACAGAAGAGCUGGGUGCAAGAAAAAGGGGGUUGGAGGACCUGCAAACAGCACCAGUACUGGCAAGUGGGUAAUACCAAAAUGAACUUUCUAACCUUUUAGCUUUAAAAUAUUUUUGCUUUUAGUAUUUUCCAAAUAAAACAAGUCAUUGAGAAAAGAGUUUAAGUGUUAAGCAAGAGGAAGCAGAACAAAGAAUAUUUUCUUAAGCCUUUCAUGUUUCAGUAUUCUGUCAAAAUCUGAGUUUUUCUUUUUCCUGAUCUGAACUUUUUUUUUUGUCCUGCUGAUUUCUGUUUGAAGAACUCUAAUUUCAGCCACUUUGCUGAUACCUGGACCAAGUCCAGGAGAUCAUUACUGUCCCGGUGUCUGCCUGGAAGAGCAGGAGGUGGGCUUUGAAGCAGAUAUGGCAGCCCAGGCCCAGCAAGGCACGUGCUGGCUGGGGCAGGGAGUGACCCUGGCACGGAGAGCUGGCUGCUCAGGGCCGGAUGCCGCCCAUUGCAUUCUGCUUUUUGCUUUUCAUUUGCCUUGAGUGGUUAUCUGGAGUCACGGGCAGGUAAUCAGGCAACUUUAUGGUACCCACAGAAAUCCUUCAAGAACUUCUGUGAACUUUUGCUCUUGG
This is a non-coding RNA of Anas platyrhynchos (mallard), 2599 nucleotides long. NCBI's taxonomy places the organism in Eukaryota, Metazoa, Chordata, Aves, Anseriformes, Anatidae. The record is from RefSeq and is a predicted model, not a curated record.